AUUGAACGCUGGCGGCAUGCUUUACACAUGCAAGUCGAACGGUAACAGGUUAAGCUGACGAGUGGCGAACGGGUGAGUAAUGCAUCGGAACGUGCCCGGUCGUGGGGGAUAACGCAGCGAAAGCUGCGCUAAUACCGCAUACGAUCUGAGGAUGAAAGCGGGGGACCGUAAGGCCUCGCGCGAUCGGAGCGGCCGAUGUCAGAUUAGGUAGUUGGUGGGGUAAAGGCUCACCCAGCCAACGGUCUGUAGCUGGUCUGAGAGGCCGACCAGCCACACUGGGCCUGAGACACGGCCCAGACUCCUACGGGAGGCAGCAGUGGGGAAUUUUGGACAAUGGGCGAAAGCCUUAUCCAGCAAUGCCGCGUGCAGGAAGAAGGCCUUCGGGUUGUAAACUGCUUUUGUACGGAGCGAAAAGGUCUCCUCUAAUACAGGGGGCUCAUGACGGUACCGUAAGAAUAAGCACCGGCUAACUACGUGCCAGCCGCCGCGGUAA
Molecule: ribosomal RNA, 493 nt
Filed under: uncultured bacterium
Lineage: Bacteria
Description: partial 16S ribosomal RNA
Rfam family: Bacterial small subunit ribosomal RNA
Source: RNAcentral